UGGAUCCAGACUUUGAUUCUGGCUCAGGAUGAACGCUAGCGACAGGCUUAACACAUGCAAGUCGAGGGGCAGCGGGGGAGGAAGUUCGCUUCCUCCCGCCGGCGACCGGCGCACGGGUGAGUAACACGUAUGCAACCUGCCCGAGGCAGUGGGAUAAGCCGGAGAAAUCCGGUCUAAUACCGCAUAACAAUCCCCGGGGACAUCCCCGGGGGUUCAAAGGAAGCGAUUCCGGCCGCGGAUGGGCAUGCGUCGCAUUAGGCAGUUGGCGGGGUAACGGCCCACCAAACCGACGAUGCGUAGGGGUUCUGAGAGGAAGGUCCCCCACAUUGGAACUGAGACACGGUCCAAACUCCUACGGGAGGCAGCAGUGAGGAAUAUUGGUCAAUGGGCGCAAGCCUGAACCAGCCAAGUCGCGUGAGGGAAGACGGUCCUAUGGAUUGUAAACCUCUUUUGUCAGGGAGCAAAAGCGGCGUGCGCGCCGCCUUGAGAGUACCUGAAGAAAAAGCAUCGGCUAACUCCGUGCCAGCAGCCGCGGUAAUACGGAGGAUGCGAGCGUUAUCCGGAUUUAUUGGGUUUAAAGGGUGCGUAGGCGGAAAGUUAAGUCAGUGGUCAAAACUCAAGGCUCAACCUUGAGUCGCCAUUGAAACUGGUUUUCUGGAGUGAGCGAGAAGUAUGCGGAAUGCGUGGUGUAGCGGUGAAAUGCAUAGAUAUCACGCAGAACUCCGAUUGCGAAGGCAGCAUACCGGCGCUCAACUGACGCUGAAGCACGAAAGCGUGGGUAUCGAACAGGAUUAGAUACCCUGGUAGUCCACGCAGUAAACGAUGAAUACUAGUUGUUCGGUGCGAAUGAGCACUGAGUGACACAGCGAAAGCGUUAAGUAUUCCACCUGGGGAGUACGCCGGCAACGGUGCAACUCAAAGGAAUUGACGGA
Molecule: ribosomal RNA, 932 nt
Filed under: uncultured Bacteroidota bacterium
Lineage: Bacteria; Pseudomonadati; Bacteroidota
Description: bacterial SSU rRNA
Rfam family: Bacterial small subunit ribosomal RNA
Source: RNAcentral